Molecule: ribosomal RNA, 253 nt
Filed under: uncultured bacterium
Lineage: Bacteria
Description: partial 16S ribosomal RNA
Rfam family: Bacterial small subunit ribosomal RNA
Source: RNAcentral
UACAGAGGGUGCAAGCGUUAAUCGGCAUUACUGGGCGUAAAGCGUGCGUAGACGGUUAUGUAAGUCAGAUGUGAAAGCCCCGGGCUUAACCUGGGAAUUGCAUUUGAGACUGCAUAGCUAGGAUGCGGAAGAGGGAAGCGGAAUUUCCGGUGUAGCGGUGAAAUGCGUAGAUAUCGGAAGGAACAUCAGUGGCGAAAGCGGCUUCCUGGUCCAGCAUCGACGUUCAGGCACGAAAGCGUGGGGAGCAAACAGG